CAGCCGCCGCGGUAAAACGAGGGGGGCAAGCGUUGUUCGGAAUUAUUGGGCGUAAAGGGCGCGUAGGCGGUUUGGCAAGUUUCGUGUGAAAUCUUCGGGCUCAACUCGAAGUCUGCACGGAAAACUGCCGGGCUUGAGUAUGGGAGAGGUGAGUGGAAUUUCCGGUGUAGCGGUGAAAUGCGUAGAUAUCGGAAGGAACACCUGUGGCGAAAGCGGCUCACUGGACCAUAACUGACGCUGAGGCGCGAAAGCUAGGGGAGCAAACAGGAUUAGAUACCCCAGUAGUCCCUGUCUCUUAUAC
This 301-nucleotide ribosomal RNA is filed under the name uncultured bacterium. RNAcentral describes it as "partial 16S ribosomal RNA". It matches the Rfam family "Bacterial small subunit ribosomal RNA", at positions 509 to 807 of the family's 1533-position model. The record is from RNAcentral.